UAAGGAAUAUUGCGCAAUGGGCGACAGCCUGACGCAGUGACGCCGCGUGGGGGAUGAAGGUCUUCGGAUUGUAAACCCCUUUCGGCAGGGAAGAUGGAACGGGUAACCGUUCGGACGGUACCUGCAGAAGCAGCCACGGCUAACUUCGUGCCAGCAGCCGCGGUAAUACGAAGGUGGCAAGCGUUGUUCGGAUUUACUGGGCGUACAGGGCGCGUAGGCGGCAAUUCAAGUCAUCUGUGAAAUCUCCGGGCUUAACUCGGAACGGUCAGAUGAUACUGCUUUGCUAGAGUGCAGAAGGGGCAAUCGGAAUUCUUGGUGUAGCGGUGAAAUGCGUAGAUAUCAAGAGGAACACCUGAGGUGAAGACGGGUUGCUGGGCUGACACUGACGCUGAGGCGCGAAAGCCAGGGGAGCAAACGGGAUUAGAUACCCCCGUAGUCCCUGAGCGGGCUGGCAAGGCGCAU
RNAcentral lists this ribosomal RNA (462 nucleotides) under uncultured bacterium. RNAcentral describes it as "bacterial SSU rRNA". It matches the Rfam family "Bacterial small subunit ribosomal RNA", at positions 355 to 825 of the family's 1533-position model. The record is from RNAcentral.